This 74-nucleotide transfer RNA is filed under the name Candidatus Yanofskybacteria bacterium RIFCSPHIGHO2_01_FULL_42_12. RNAcentral's name for it is "tRNA-Val". It matches the Rfam family "tRNA". From Rfam's summary of the family: Transfer RNA (tRNA) molecules are approximately 80 nucleotides in length. Lineage: Bacteria; Candidatus Yanofskyibacteriota. RNAcentral also lists the same sequence under 1 other name. The record is from RNAcentral.
GGGCACAUAGCUCAGCUGGUUAGAGCGUCGCAUUCACAUUGCGAAGGUCGGAGGUUCGAGUCCUCCUAUGCCCA